This 561-nucleotide ribosomal RNA is filed under the name uncultured bacterium. RNAcentral's name for it is "bacterial SSU rRNA". It matches the Rfam family "Bacterial small subunit ribosomal RNA", at positions 338 to 916 of the family's 1533-position model. The record is from RNAcentral.
CCUACGGGAGGCAGCAGUGGGGAAUCUUGCGCAAUGGGCGAAAGCCUGACGCAGCCAUGCCGCGUGUAUGAUGAAGGUCUUAGGAUUGUAAAAUACUUUCACCGGUGAAGAUAAUGACUGUAGCCGGAGAAGAAGCCCCGGCUAACUUCGUGCCAGCAGCCGCGGUAAUACGAAGGGGGCUAGCGUUGCUCGGAAUUACUGGGCGUAAAGGGAGCGUAGGCGGACAUUUAAGUCAGAGGUGAAAUCCCGGAGCUUAACUUCGGAACUGCCUUUGAUACUGGGUGUCUUGAGUGUGAGAGAGGUAUGUGGAACUCCGAGUGUAGAGGUGAAAUUCGUAGAUAUUCGGAAGAACACCAGUGGCGAAGGCGACAUACUGGCUCAUUACUGACGCUGAGGCUCGAAAGCGUGGGGAGCAAACAGGAUUAGAUACCCUGGUAGUCCACGCCGUAAACGAUGAUUGCUAGUUGUCGGGAAGCUUGCUUCUCGGUGACGCAGCUAACGCAUUAAGCAAUCCGCCUGGGGAGUACGGUCGCAAGAUUAAAACUCAAAAGGAAUUGACGG